This 351-nucleotide unclassified non-coding RNA is filed under the name soil metagenome. RNAcentral describes it as "partial contains 5.8S ribosomal RNA, internal transcribed spacer 2, and large subunit ribosomal RNA". The stretch from base 1 to 120 matches the Rfam family "5.8S ribosomal RNA", at positions 35 to 154 of the family's 154-position model. The record is from RNAcentral.
GAUGAAGAACGCAGCGAAAUGCGAUAAGUAAUGUGAAUUGCAGAAUUCAGUGAAUCAUCGAAUCUUUGAACGCACAUUGCGCCCGCCAGUAUUCUGGCGGGCAUGCCUGUUCGAGCGUCAUUACAACCCUCAGGCCCCCGGGCCUGGCGUUGGGGAUCGGCGGAAGCCCCCUGUGGGCACACGCCGUCCCUCAAAUACAGUGGCGGUCCCGCCGCAGCUUCCAUUGCGUAGUAGCUAACACCUCGCAACUGGAGAGCGGCGCGGCCAUGCCGUAAAACACCCAACUUCUGAAUGUUGACCUCGAAUCAGGUAGGAAUACCCGCUGAACUUAAGCAUAUCAAUAAGCGGAGA